Molecule: ribosomal RNA, 253 nt
Filed under: uncultured bacterium
Lineage: Bacteria
Description: partial 16S ribosomal RNA
Rfam family: Bacterial small subunit ribosomal RNA
Source: RNAcentral
UACGGAGGGUGCGAGCGUUGUCCGGAAUCACUGGGCGUAAAGGGCGCGUAGGCGGCCUGAUAAGUAGGGGGUGAAAUCCUGCGGCUUAACCGCAGGGCUGCCUUCUAAACUGUCGGGCUAGAGCACGGUAGAGGCAGAUGGAAUUCCCGGUGUAGCGGUGGAAUGCGUAGAGAUCGGGAAGAACAUCAGUGGCGAAGGCGGGUCUCUGGACAGUUCCUGACGCUGAGGCACGAAGGUCAGGGGAGCAAACGGG